UGUUUCAGAAGUUUAAGCAGUUAAUUUGCUGCUUAAACUCAUUAGUCACUUUUUAUUUGGCAUGCCAUGAAAACCAUCUUAAAAUAGAUACACAGUCAUGAUGUUGACAGCUCUGUAAUGAGAAGACCUGCUGUGCUGCUUGGAGAACUCUCUGUUUACUGGGCUGAUGCACUGGGCACCGUUGCUAUUGACCCUUUGCUUCUGUGUAGCACUGCGUAGCACUUUGUUUGUGAAAGCCAUAAAACAAGGACUACGAUGAUUUCAUCCUGGCAACCAGACUCCCACCUUUCCUGCCUGCUUCUCCUCUGUGGGCUUCAUGUGAGGAGUAAACAGCCCAACAGCUGUCUUAACGUCUCUUCCUUCUGUUUUUCAAUCUUCAACUCUUCAUUUCCUUUCUCUUCUUGCAGAAUAAAGCAUUCAUACAGGCUUGGAUUGACAUGAGACCGCACUCAUUCAGCCCAGUCCCUCAUAUUCACACUCGCCUCUCUUUUCCUGUAAGCUCCAGCUGAUAUCCAGCCACACAACAUGGACAUCAUGGCAGUUCAAA
Molecule: long non-coding RNA, 547 nt
Organism: Misgurnus anguillicaudatus (oriental weatherfish)
Lineage: Eukaryota; Metazoa; Chordata; Actinopteri; Cypriniformes; Cobitidae
Source: RefSeq, a predicted model, not a curated record